This 497-nucleotide ribosomal RNA is filed under the name uncultured bacterium. Its description in RNAcentral is "partial 16S ribosomal RNA". It matches the Rfam family "Bacterial small subunit ribosomal RNA", at positions 28 to 507 of the family's 1533-position model. The record is from RNAcentral.
GAUGAACGCUGGCGGCGUGCCUAAUACAUGCCAGUCGAGCGGACAGACGAUGAUCUUGCGCCGCGGACGUUAGCGGAGGGGGGGUGAGUAACGCGUGGAUAACCUACCUGUAAGAGGGAUAUAACUUCGAGAAAGGGGCUCUUAUAGCAUAGGAGAUAUUGAACCGCGGUGGGGGAUGGUGAGAGACGGCGGUGCGGGCAGGUCUAGAGGGUUCCGCGCCGGAUUAGGUAGUUGUGGAGGUAACGGCUUACGAAGGCGAGGAUGCGUAGGCGACCUGAGAGGGUGAUAGGCCACCCUGGAACGUAGCCAGGGUCCAGACUCCUACGGGAGGCAGCAGUAGGGAAUCUUACGCAAUGGGCGAAAGCCUGACGGAGCAACGCCGCGUGAGUGAUGAAGGUCCUCGGAUCGUAAAACUCUGUUAUUAGGGAAGAACAAAUGUGUAAGUAAACAUGCCCGUAUUGACGGUACCUAAUAAGAAAGCACCGGCUAACUACGUG